Molecule: long non-coding RNA, 473 nt
Filed under: Pongo abelii (Sumatran orangutan)
Lineage: Eukaryota; Metazoa; Chordata; Mammalia; Primates; Hominidae
Description: lincRNA
Source: RNAcentral
AGAUAUCAGAAAGUUAAAGUUUCUCUUGCUGCCACCAUGUAAGAAAGACCUUUUUACCUCCCACCAUGAUUCUAAGGCCUCCCCAGCCACAUGGAACUGCUUUCAUUUGAUCUCUUUUUGAAUCAGAAGACCCAGAAAACUUGGAUCCACUUCUGGCUCUGAUCCCUCUGGGCAGUGUGAUUUGGAUUGAGCAGAUGCUCUGGGUGCCACUCCAUCAUAUAUUGGAAACAGCAUUACUUUAUAGUAAAUCAUGACCAUGGUGUAUGACAAUGAAGUUGCAUCUGAAGCAGCCAGCACCCUAUGUGCUAGCUGGCUUUUAGACCAGGAGACUGUGAUUCUGUGGUCAGGAUCUCUUUAGGGAUGACUAAAUAUGUACUACUCACUAUCACUCACUGGAGCUGCAGACCCUAGUCUUAGAGUUUCACUUCUUAAAGACCUUCAUCCUUAUUAAAAUGGUAAUAUCCUUACUGUCA